Molecule: long non-coding RNA, 284 nt
Filed under: Nicotiana benthamiana
Lineage: Eukaryota; Viridiplantae; Streptophyta; Magnoliopsida; Solanales; Solanaceae
Description: long non-coding RNA (NBEN_LNC025240)
Source: RNAcentral
ACUCUACUAAGCUUGUCUAUGAAUCGUGAUACCUAAGUCACUUAUAGCUCUGAUACCAACUUGUCACGACCCAAAUUUUCAAUCCUCGGGAGUUGUGAUGGUGCCUACUAAUGAAAGCUAGGCAAACCGACCAUUUGGAUCAUUUACCUUUUUUUUCCAUUUUAAUCCCUUUUCAAUUAAUAACCAACAUUAGAAAAACAACGUAAUUUAAUAGGCGGAAGACUGAAAUGUAAUAUUUAAUAGAGAUGCCAAUACCAUUCCAUGCAUAAACUACCUGAUACUGG